Molecule: non-coding RNA, 80 nt
Organism: Pelobates cultripes (western spadefoot toad)
Lineage: Eukaryota; Metazoa; Chordata; Amphibia; Anura; Pelobatidae
Source: the annotation of a GenBank genome assembly
CGAAACAACGCUUCCGUCCACAACAGCGCCUUUGUCAAGCUCUAGACAAAGGUCCUGUUGUGGACUGAAACGUUGUUUCA